UUUUAAAACAAAACUCACGUCAUUUGCUCACACUCCCAUACUCACAACAAGCACCAGCAUGUCCAAGUAUUUGUCCAGCAUCCAAGGAUCAAGAUGCAAGUACCCAGGUGGUCUGGCCAGGAUUUCUUGUGAUGACGUGGAGGACAAGGGACACUGUCUACUGAGUCCUUCUCAUGCCUCCUCGUUUCUUCCUAGGUUGGCAGGCAUGCUGAAGUUUUGGAGGGGCUUUUUAUAUCCCUUUGGAACUGGGCUCAAGAUUUUGGUGAUGGACAAGCCAGGAUAAAUGAGAAGAUUUUGGUCAGAAUUCUGGAUCUUAUUGCAGCUGAGUCCCUGAAGGAGUCAUUAAAAAAAGAAAAAAAAAAGUGUUGUUGCCUGAAGAAACGGUUGGAAAGAGAAGUGGAGAAGGGCUUAAAAGGAAACCAUUUUCUCCGAAUCAUAGAAGGUGUUAUAUUUUUAUAUGUCAUGGUAGUCUGGAGAUUUCUGAAUAGGACCUUAAAGGAGAUGAAAUCCAAGAUAGAAUAACUUUGGUAUCCUGGUGGUAAAAAUAUCCAUAUGUUUUAGUAUGUGAAAUAUUUUACUGAGUAGAUUAAAAAUCUAUGAAGUGUUCUUGAAAUAGCUGAAAAUUGAGAUAAAAUUUUCAAAAUGAGUCAAAUUAGUCAGAUCUACCUGUAACAAGAUCUCUUGCAACGUAUGCUUCUAAGCUAAUAUUAUUCAUGCUGUUUUAAAGAUCAGCUGUAGACUGGCAGAUUUAAACAAACAAAAAGGCUAAAUAAUAAUAGUCUACACAGUGGUAUGUAGUUUCAAUUUUUGUUUUUUUCUCAUUCAAGAUGAAAUUGUCCCCAAUGAGCUUCAGAUGUGCAUAUGGUCACAGCAGUUCCAGUCUGUAAAAUCACAAUUUCAAUGAAACAGAGAAAUGAUGAGGAAUAUAAAAACUUAGUUAUCUUUCAAUACGAUUUUCAAGGAUCUUCAAAUAUAAUUGUAAAUGUUAAAGUGAUAUGCAUAUUAUAAGAAGUUUUCUUAAAACUACUUUAAAUUUACUACAUUACUUUUUCUACUAGAAGAAAUUUAAUAUUUGCAAAGUAUUUCUUGUGUAAAUUUAUUAUUAAAAUUAAUUAUAUAAAUAUUCUUUUUCCAUUUCCAUAAUUUUACCAACUUAUCUGGCUGUAUAUGGUGAGAGAUGAUGGAGAGACUAAAUAGUAAUUGCUUAUUGACUGUUUGGAAAGCACUAGCACAUUUUUCAUGCUACAGAAAUGUUAAAAAAUAUCUAAAAACAGUACCAAGAGUUAUAAAUGAUAUAGUAGUAACUAGGGUAAUUUUCAGAAUGGUAUGUUUAACAUUUUCCCUUUUUAUUUUAUAUGCAACUGAUUGAAACUUCUAUUACAAUAAAAACUGCUGGAGUUUUUUGGGAGGUUAUUAU
This 1417-nucleotide long non-coding RNA is filed under the name Struthio camelus australis. RNAcentral describes it as "lncRNA (ENSSCUG00000016118.1)". Lineage: Eukaryota; Metazoa; Chordata; Aves; Struthioniformes; Struthionidae. The record is from RNAcentral.